Non-coding RNA from Erythranthe guttata (spotted monkey flower), 940 nucleotides. Lineage: Eukaryota; Viridiplantae; Streptophyta; Magnoliopsida; Lamiales; Phrymaceae. The record is from RefSeq and is a predicted model, not a curated record.
AAAAAAAAACCAUCGAGACACUACUCACUAAUAGCACGAAAAAACCCACCUCCAGAGCCACGGCAAGUGCGACGCCACCGUCACCGCCACCGAUUCUAACAUCUUCGUAUCCGCUGCUGAAAUCGUCAUCUCCCGCUGCUAAUUAACUUUAGUGGUUAAUGAAGCAGCCGAUGUACAAUGUCCUGUAGCAAAAGUGUCCACGAGAUCGAAACUUAUCUGUUUAAGCUGGAAUAAGUACGCCAAAAAUCAGAUUGCCAGCAGUGAGACUAUGAAGGCAUUGUAACUGUUUAGGAUGUGACUACUCGACAGAGCGUGAUGGAGUAUGAGGAGCAUGAAAAACGUGCAUGGAGUGUUGAUUUUUUCAUCAAAUUAACAACUUGUUGAGGAAAGAGUUUACAUCAUAUGCCAUCUGCUGAUACACAAUGCGCUCAUGCACUCUCUGAGUCAUGUAGCGUGGCUCAUAUGCCAGCUCAGGUUCAAGAAACUCAAACUCGGCAAUUAAGUGCGAAUGACGCGUGUAAAAGGAAUUCGCUAAAAAGAAAUGUUCGAAGAUUGUUAUGGACAAAUAUGAACUAUUGCGGUGGCUAGAGUUUGUUGUUGAAAUUCAGAUAAACCAGCACAUGUUUGGACAAUUGAUAUAUAUAUAUUUUAAAUCAAAGAAUCACUUCUGAGUUUUUGUCAUCUGAAUACGUAAACCUUGAAAUGAUCAUUUUCAAUUCCAAUAGUCUAAUGCAUCUAUUUAUUUAGUAUUGGCCAGUUACUUUUCAUUGUCUUCGAAUUUUUUAUAUUCAAUAUAAUUGAUGGCAACAAGAUUCAGGAAAAAAAAUGGAUUACAAUUGGCAGAAAACAUGAAUCCUAGAAAAGACACUAUUGUCAUGAAUCUUGGAUUUGAAUUUAUAAGUUGUAUAAACAAUCAUUAAGUAGUAAUAUAGAUAGAGUA